Molecule: ribosomal RNA, 408 nt
Filed under: uncultured bacterium
Lineage: Bacteria
Description: partial 16S ribosomal RNA
Rfam family: Bacterial small subunit ribosomal RNA
Source: RNAcentral
GACGAACGCUGGCGGCGUGCCUAAUACAUGCAAGUCGACCUUAGUUGCUAACUGGUGAGUAACACGUGGGUAACCUGCCCAUCAGAAGGGGAUAACACUUUGAAACAUGUGCUAAUACCGUAUACUGCUAGAUGGACCCGCGGUGCAUUAGCUAGUUGGUGAGGUAACGGCUCACCAAGGCCACGAUGCAUAGCCGACCUGAGAGGGUGAUCGGACACAUUGGGACGGAGACACGGUCUAGACUCCUACGGGAGUCAGCAGUAGGGAAUCUUAGGCAAUGGACGAAAGUCUGAUCGAGCAACGCCGCGUGAGUGAAGAAGGUUUUCGGAUCGUAAAACUCUUUUGUUAGAGAAGCGGUAUCUAACCAGAAAGCCACGGCUAACUACGUGCCAGCAGCCGCGGUAAUAC